UGUCAUCUGAAUUAUUGUCUACGCCAGUAAUGACAUUGACGAACUCGCCAUCAGUGUCGCCAUUGGGUAGCUCAACAUCAGCACUGGGUCUAGCUAAACAACAGUGCCAGUCAGCGACAAUAGGCUCUAAGUAACCGGAAUGGACGAGGAUUUUAAUCCGGCCAAGGNCUGUCUAAACUCGGCACCACUCCGAAAUUUGUUAAGAAAUGUUAUCACUAACAAACGCAGACUACUUUUUACUCUUUUGAAAUUCGCAUGACUACAUACAUUUGUAACUAGAAUAUGACUUUGUCUUCCUAAAGAAUCAGCUGAGUAUCUGCAGANAAACAACACUGUCGCAAUAUUGCUACAGUUAUUUGCUUGCUCGAACAUCCCCGUGGUGUCCUACUUCCUCGGAAGUGGCGUGCAUAGAGAAACAAAAUUAAUGGCGGGGAGUGCUUGUAGGAAGUCCGUAGGUAUGGGUAAUGCGUUGAGGNUUCUCUCGGUAAAUUCUGUGAAGCGAACCCAGUUAGCUUUGUUAAAGGUAAUGAAAGUGCGGUUGUACACANAAAUAAAGUCCUAAGGUUUCUCGAUCGAGAUAAUUGUGGGCCGAUGGUCUNAUGUUAGAAUUAUCGUAGGUCCAAGUUAUGCUAUUUAUCAGACCUCCACUAGCAAUGGUAAUAUUGGACGACCAAUUACAGGUGCCCAUAAUUCUGGUGAGGGCUUCGAAUGUCAAAUCGUCUAUCUGUUCCGCAAGCUCUAUCCCCUUGCGAUUAUUUGCGAGGCAUCAAUGCUAAGGAUCGUGGGGCGCAUUAAAAUCGCCUAGUACAAAAAGGUUUUCACCACGAAGUAGCGCAUUUAUGUUCGGGUAAUAUCAUUUAGGGCAACAUUUAACUGGAGGGAUGUAUGUAAUGAACAUUUCAAGCUCGUCAUCGGACCUGACGGGAUAGCUAUAACAUGACAUUCAAGAAUAGUAUCCAUGCGGUCAAUAUCGCCAUCGNUAAGACGAUAUUGCACGGUGUUGCGCAGUAAGAAGGAUAAGCCUCCUCUAUAAUAUUGCUCACGACCUUUACGUAAAACGUUGAAGCCUACCCAACUGAGAAGAGCGGGUGUUUAACUUGGUUUUUUCGACAGCGGCUAUCGAUACACCGAUGGCUCCAUUCACUGUAUAUAUUACACCUGACUAAGAUGGAGUUUGGAUGGAGCCUUUUGGCNCAAACGCAGCAGAAGAAUUUCUCCGAGCCCGAGUUGGACUAAAUGCCAGAACGAGUCAGGAGCAACCCUCCUGCAAGGCGNUGCUUCAGUGACGACAAGCUUACGCUAAGACUUACCGAUCUUAACGGGGUUAGAUCUCUGCAAUACCAGCCCUUAGCCGGAUAAAAUCCGGGUCAAUUCCGGUGCNUGGAACCGACUGUUGCGGGAAUUGCUGGACAUUUUGAUUUUGAGUUAUGUUGUUAUGAAGUUGAACUCACCUACCGACUCAAUAAAAUGCAUGCAAAANAAUCAGGGUACGUUCCGGUUACGUGUCUGGUCUUCGUAUGCAAAAUCNAGAAUUUUUGCCGAAGUCUCCGUUUUUUGAGUUGCGGAAAUUUAGAAAAAUAGGAAAAAAAAUAUUUUGGAAAAACGUAUGAAAUCGGUUCAUUUAAAGGUUUGGGCAGAUUUUAAAUGUGCUGUUCAAAUUAAAUUUCUGGAAACGGAGGAUGAGCCCUUCAGUCCAGUAACUUUAAUUUCAUUCGAAAAUGAGGACUGCUUACCUUGCAAACAUCUAAAAGGCAUUCAAAAUUGUGGAAGAUCUCAAGUAACUGCGACAAAUAUUCCGUAUGAGCUAAAACUACCAUUAAUAGAAGAACAAUUGAUGCAAUUUUUUCCCAGCCCCAAAUAAAAAAUUAAUCAACAUAUUAAACGCUUAACUAAGCAAUAGGAACUAAUAAAUUGACAAACUAAUUUAAUUUAUUUUUCCAAAUACUUAAUAUUUAGUUUGAUAUUGUUAAA
This 1971-nucleotide long non-coding RNA is filed under the name Bactrocera latifrons. RNAcentral's name for it is "uncharacterized LOC108966118, transcript variant X1". Lineage: Eukaryota; Metazoa; Arthropoda; Insecta; Diptera; Tephritidae. The record is from RNAcentral.